Pteronotus mesoamericanus is the source of this 286-nucleotide long non-coding RNA. RefSeq lists it as uncharacterized. The transcript has 3 exons. Lineage: Eukaryota; Metazoa; Chordata; Mammalia; Chiroptera; Mormoopidae. The record is from RefSeq and is a predicted model, not a curated record.
GCCCUGAGAAGCAGAGCUGGUCUUGCCGCGUUGGAGUGGUCCCCGCAAAGUACUACGCAGCCGGAGGACGACGAGUGAGCCGCUCUAUAUUAAAUAUGGCGUCCGCGUCCCGUGAAAUGCAGCUUUUAGCCCUCCUGGCCCCAGAAGGACUCAGAGGAAGCUGAAUUCUGUGACUGAACAGGAACAGGCCGCCCCUCACCUGCCAAUGAUGCUCUUGAUCUGUGAAUCCUUCUCCACCUGCUGCUGCCUUAGCCUCUUCUCGCUCUGCUCCAGUCGGGCCUGGUAC